GACGAACGCUGGCGGCGUGCUUAACACAUGCAAGUCGAACGGUGAAGCGCCUUCCUUUUUGGUGGGUGUGGUUGCGUGGCGAACGGGUGAGUAACACGUGAGUAACCUGCCCCCUUCUUCUGGAUCACCGCAUGAAAGUGUGGCUAAUACGGGAUAUUCUGGUUCUGUCGCAUGAUGGGUCUGGGAAAGCUAUUGUUUCGGUGGGGGGUGGACGCGCGGCCUAUCAGCUUGUUGGUGGGGACAUGGCCUACCAAGGCGGUGCCGGGUAGCGGGCAUGCGAGGGUGACCGGCCAGAUUGGGACGGAGAGAGGGCCAGGAUUCCUAGGGGAGGGAGCAGUGGGGAAUAUUGCACAAUGGGCGGACGCCUGAUGCAGAAACGCCGCGUGCGGGAUGACGGCCUUGGGGGUGUAAACCGGGUUCGCCUGUGACGAAGCGUGAGUGACGGUAAUGGGUAAAGAAGCACCGGCUAACUACGUG
This 477-nucleotide ribosomal RNA is filed under the name uncultured bacterium. Its description in RNAcentral is "partial 16S ribosomal RNA". It matches the Rfam family "Bacterial small subunit ribosomal RNA", at positions 28 to 507 of the family's 1533-position model. The record is from RNAcentral.